Suricata suricatta (meerkat) is the source of this 566-nucleotide long non-coding RNA. RefSeq lists it as uncharacterized. The record is from RefSeq and is a predicted model, not a curated record. The transcript has 3 exons. NCBI's taxonomy places the organism in Eukaryota, Metazoa, Chordata, Mammalia, Carnivora, Herpestidae.
AAGAGAUUCCUGCCCGUGGCAUCGCGGAGGCUUCUCCAGGCACGUGACGCCAGACAACAGAUGUCAGAUUGGGCUUCAUCUCCUCCCCUACAUUGGACCAGCAUUGGAAGUCACACUCAGACUCCUGGUCAACCCAAACUGCCUUCUUCCUUCUCCAUCGUCCCUGAGGGCCCUGAUCAUGAUGCCCCCAUUCCCUGCCAGAGUACCAUCUCUUUCCCAGCCCAGGCCUCGAAGAUGUGCUCUUCUGAUGAACUAUGGAAACCAAGGCUCAAUUCACACUGGUUGCUGAUGACAGAGCCACGGUUCAAGCUCAAGGCUGUUGACUUUUGGAGCCCACCUGCUCUUUGCUUCUUCACACCAUCCUGAAAUCCUGAGCCCAAUUCCCCAUGACUGGUUAAGAAUGGACACAUUGGGGACACCUGGGUGGCUCAGUUGGUUGAGGGUCCAACUUCAGCUCAGGUCAUGGUCCCUCAUUUGGUGGAUUCGACACCCACAUCGGACUCUGCUGACAGUUCAGAGUCUGGAGCCUGCAUUAGAUUCUGUGUCAUCCUCUGUCUCUUUGCCCC